Aethina tumida (small hive beetle) is the source of this 336-nucleotide long non-coding RNA. RefSeq lists it as uncharacterized. The transcript is spliced from 3 exons. The record is from RefSeq and is a predicted model, not a curated record. NCBI's taxonomy places the organism in Eukaryota, Metazoa, Arthropoda, Insecta, Coleoptera, Nitidulidae.
UCGGUCGGGGUGGUGGUCCGCGCUGCCGUCCACCCCAAUUAAUUCGGUGGUGCGGUUCGGGUUAGUGCAGUCCCUCGUGCGAUCAAUUAGUGCCCUACUGGACAUGCUACGGGGUUAAAAGUGAUGAAGUGUUUUCUCCAACGUGACUUUGAUGGACAAAUCCUGAAGUGUGAUGACCCAACCAACCAUUGGAGAGACGAUAAGGCAACAGGGAAAGGGCAUUAAAGGUAGGUCCAGAACGAGACUAGUUAACUGGGCAACUGGCAACGCAAAGUAAGUUUUUGAACAUGAUAUUUCCGGUUCUCCUUUCGUCCUUUCAACUUUGCCAUCGGUUCA